AUAUGGCCUAGGUAGGGAGAUCUCUGGUCGCCAAAUCGGGUGUGUCACACUGCCCACCCCGCGACAAAAACCAUGCCAAGGCAUGUCAAACGUCCAAGUCUCGGGCUCAGCUUUUUCCAGUGGGUGCCUUGGGUGGUAUGCCACAUUUUUGGUAUAGGACAUAGGUGGAUUUGAUGCCAGCUUCGAGGUGAACACAACUGAUCUUUAGUGUAGGUGUAGUUUUUAACUUAGAGAGAAAUAGAGAGCUCUAGCUCUCUAUCCACUUGGAGCUUUGAUUUGGGGUUUCUCCAGGGGUCUUUUUGCAAUAAUUCCCUCCCCUAAUUGCUGGUUAUAAGGUUACUUAAGGUUUGGGUAAAUAUUACUCAUGCUUUGUACACUUGCUCACUCUCUUUUCCCUCUUAUCUAGGGUUUUGGGAGAUAGGGUUUAAGAGAGGUCUAGGGUUCUUCUCCCCUCUUAUCCAAGGUAGUAAGUGUGCAAGGAUUAGAGUAAUGAUUCUUAGGUCAUUGGCAACUUGAUUAGCACAUGAUCUCCAAGGUUCUUAUGUGUUGCCUUAAGCCUCUACCACAUAUAAUUCACAGUCCUUAGUGCCAAGGUGUGCUCUAGCCAUGGUAACACCUGGGGUGUUACAGACCCAGGGCUCGAACUCGGGCUCAGCCCCGGAAGACGGCGAACUCCGCUCCGCCCGACCCAGGGCUCGGACUCGGGCUCAGCCCCGGAAGACGGCGAACUCCGCUCCGCCCGACCCCAGGGCUCGGACUCAGGCUCAGCCCCUGAAGACGACGAACUCCGCUUCGCCCGACCCCAGGGCUCGGACUCGGGCUUAGCCCCGGAAGACGGCGAACUCCGCUCCGCCCGACCAAGGGCUCGGACUCGGGCUCGGCCCUGGAAGACGGCGAACUCCACUUCGCCCGACCCCAGGGCUCGGACUCGGGCUCAGCCCCUGAAGACGACGAACUCCGCUUCGCCCGACCCCAGGGCUCGGACUCAGCCCUGGCCUCCGCCGACGGUCUCCGCCUCGCCCGACCCAGGGGCUCAGACUCUACCUCGACCUCGGAGGAGCCUCCAUAUCGCCCAACCUAGGGCACGGACCGACCACGUCAACAGGAGGCGCCAUCAUUACCCUACCCCAAGCUGACUCAGGCUACGGGGAACAAGACCGGCGUCCCAUCUGGCUCGCUCCGCCAGACAAGUAAUGAUGGCGCCCCGCACGCUCUAUGACGACGGCGGCUCUCAGCCCCCUUACGGAAGCAAGAGGACGUCAGCAAGGACUCGACAGCCCUGACAGCUGUCCUUCCGCCAGGCUCCAGCGCUCCUCCGAUGGCCACGACACCACACGAACCGGGUGAUAAAACCUCUCCGGCUGCCACGAUGGCAUGUACUUAGGGCGCUAGCUCUCCUCCGCUAGACACGUUAGCACUCUGCUACACCCCCACUGUACACCUGGAUCCUUUCCUUGCGCCUAUAAAAGGGAGGACCAUGGCCCUCUUAGAGAGGGUUGGCCACGCAGGGAAGAGGACGGGACAGGCGCUCGCGUGAGGCCGCUCGCUCCCCUCCCGCGUGGACGCUUGUAACCCCCUACUGCAAGCGCACCCGACCUGGGCGCGGGACAAACACGAAGGCCGCGGGAUUUCCACCUCUCUCUCGCUCCGGCCGCCUUUUUCCCCCCUUCGCGCUCCGUCUCGCGCCGACCCAUCUGGGCUGGGGCACGCGGCGACAUUUCACUCGUCGGCCCAGGGACCCCCCCGGUCUCAAAACGCCGACAAUAUGAGUGAAGGAUUAUAUCAAAGUGAAGAGCGGUGCGGAGUGACGGCGAAGGAUGAAUAAUUGAAUGGAGUGGAGUGAAAGCCUUGUCUUCGCCGAGGACUCCAUUUCCCUUUCAAUCGAUGACUUAGCAUGUAAUACACUUGAAAACCACAUUAGUCAUAGCACAAGAAAGAGAGAUGAUCAAAGGUAUCUAAAUGAGCUAUGUGUGCAAAAUAUCAAUCAAAAUUCCUAGAAUCAAGAAUGUUUAGCUCAUGCCUAAAUUUGGUAAAAAUUUUCUCAUCUAAUGGCUUGGUGAAGAUAUAGGCUAAUUGUGCUUUGGUGCUAACAUAUGCAAUUUUGAUAUCCCCCUUUGUUGGUAAUCCCUCAAAAAGUGAUAUCGAAUGGCUAUGUGCUUAGUGCGGUUGUGCUCAACGGGAUUAUCCGCCAUGCGGAUUGCAGUCUCAUUAUCACAUAGGAGAGGAACUUUGGUUAAUUUGUAACCAUAGUCCCUAAGGGUUUGCCUCAUCUAGAGCAAUUGCGCGCAACAAUGGCCUGCGGCAAUGUACUCGGCUUCGGCGGUAGAAAGAGCUACAAAAUUUUGUUUCUUUGAAGCCCAAGACACCAGGGAUCUUCCCAAGAACUGACAAGUCCCUGAUGUGCUCUUUCUAUCAAUUUUACACCCUGCCCAAUCAGUAUCUGAAUAACCUAUUAAAUCAAAAGUGGAUCCCUUGGGGUACCAAAGACCAAACUUAGGAGUAUGAACUAAAUAUCUCAAGAUUCGUUUCACGGCCCUAAGGUGAACUUCCUUAGGAUCGGCUUGGAAUCUUGCACACAUGCAUACGGAAAGCAUAAUAUCCGGUCGAGAUGCACAUAAAUAGAGUAAAGAUCCUAUCAUCGACCGGUAUACCUUUUGAUCUACGGACUUACCUCUCGUGUCGAGGUCGAUAUGCCCAUUGGUUCUCAUGGGUGUCUUGAUGGGCUUGGCAUCCUUCAUCCCAAACUUGGUGAGUAUGUCUUGAAUGUACUUUGUUUGGCUGAUGAAGGUGCCCUCUUGUAGUUGUUUCACUUGAAAUCCUAAGAAAUACUUCAACUCCCCCAUCAUAGACAUCUCGAAUUUUUGAAUCAUGAUCCUACUAAACUCUUCACAAGUAGAUUUGUUAGUAGACCCAAAUAUGAUAUCAUCAACAUAAAUUUGGCAUAUAAACAAAUCAUUUGCAAUAGUUUUAGUAAAGAGAGUAGGAUCGGCUUUUCCGACUUUGAAGCCAUUAGCGAUAAGAAAAUCUCUUAGGCAUUCAUACCAUGCUCUUGGGGCUUGCUUGAGCCCAUAAAGCGCCUUAGGGAGUUUAUAGACAUGGUUAGGGUACUCACUAUCUUCAAAGCUGGGAGGUUGCUCAACAUAGACCUCUUCCUUGAUUGAUCCAUUGAGGAAGGCACUUUUCACGUCCAUUUGAUAGAGCUUAAAGCCAUGGUAAGUAGCAUAGGCAAGUAAUAUACGAAUUGACUCAAGCCUAGCUACGGGUGCAUAGGUUUCACCGAAAUCCAAACCAUCGACUUGUGAAUAUCCCUUGGCCACAAGUCAGGCUUUGUUCCUUGUCACCACACCAUGCUCAUCUUGCUUGUUGCGGAAGACCCACUUGGUUCCUACAACAUUUUGAUUAGGACGUGGAACAAGAUGCCAUACCUCAUUCCUUGUGAAGUUGUUGAGUUCCUCUUGCAUUGCCAACACCCAAUCUGAAUCCCUUAAUGCGUCUUCCACCCUGUAUGGCUCAAUAGAAGACACAAAGGAGUAAUGUUCACAAAAAUGAGCGACACGAGAUCGAGUGGUUACCCCCUUAUGAAUAUCACCUAGGAUGGAGUUCACGGGGUGAUCUUGUUGUAUCGCUUGGUGGACUCUUGGGUGUGGCGGUCUUGAACCCUCAUCAUCUUCCUUGUCUUGAUCAUGGGCAUCUCCCCCAUGAUCAUUGUCCUCCUCAUGAGGUGGCUCUUCGUGAUCUUCAUUUUCAUCAUCUUGAUCUUGAUCCUCAUCUUGGGUUGGUGGAGAUGCUUGAUUUGAAAAUGAUUGUUGAUCUUGUGCUUGUGGAGACUCUUCGGAUUCCUUAGGACACACAUCCCCAAUGGACAUGUUCCUUAGUGCGACGCAUGGAGCCUCUUCAUCAUCUAGCUCAUCAAGAUCAACUUGCUCUACUUGAGAGCCGUUAGUCUCAUCAAACACAAUGUCACAAGAAACUUCAACUAGUCCAGUGGACUUGUUAAAGACUCUAUAUGCCCUUGUGUUUGAAUCAUAACCAAGUAAAAAGCCUUCUACAGCCUUAGGAGCAAAUUUAGAUUUUCUACCUCUUUUAACAAGAGUAAAACAUUUGCUACCAAAGACUCUAAAAUAUGAGACAUUGGGCUUUUUACCGGUGAGGAGUUCAUACGAUGUCUUCUUGAGGAUUCGGUGAAGGUAGAGACGGUUGAUGGCGUAGCAAGCGGUGUUGACUGCUUCCGCCCAAAACCGGUCCGAAGUCUUGUACUCAUCAAGCAUGGUCCUCGCCAUGUCAAGUAGAGUUCUAUUCUUCCUCUCCACUACACCAUUUUGUUGUGGUGUGUAGGGAGAAGAGAACUCAUGCUUGAUGCCCUCAUCCUCAAGGAAGCCUUCUAUUUGUGAGUUCUUGAACUUCGUCCCGUUGUCGCUUCUAAUCUUUUUGAUCCUUAAGCCGAACUCAUUUUGAGCCCGUCUCAAGAAUCCCUUUAAGGUCUCUUGGGUUUGGGAUUUAUCCUGCAAAAAGAACACCCAAGUGAAGCGAGAAUAAUCAUCCACAAUAACUAGACAAUACUUACUCCCGCCGAUGCUUAUGUAAGCAAUCAGGCCGAAUAGGUCCAUGUGGAGUAGCUUAAGUGGCAUGUCAGUCGUCAUGAUGUUCUUGUGUGGAUGAUGAACACCAACUUGCUUUCCUGCUUGACAUGCGCUACAAAUCCUGUCUUUCUCAAAAUGAACAUUUGUUAGUCCCAAAAUGUGCUCUCCCUUUAGAAGCUUAUGAAGAUUCUUCAUCCCAACGUGGGCUAGUUGGCGAUGCCAGAGCCAACCCAUGUUAGUCUUAGCAAUUAAGCAAGUGUCGAGUUCAGCUCUAUUAAAAUCAACUAAGUAUAGCUGACCCUCUAACAUUCCCUUAAAUGCUACUGAAUCAUCACUUCUUCUAAAGACAGUAACACCUAAAUCCGUAAAAAGACAAUUGUAGCCCAUUUUACAUAAUUGAGAAACUGAAAGCAAGUUGUAAUCUAAAGAAUCUACAAGAAAAACAUUGGAAAUAGAAUGGUCAGGAGAUAUAGCAAUUUUACCAAGUGCUUUGACCAAACCUUGAUUUCUAUCCCCGAAUGUGAUAGCUCUUUGGGGAUCAUGGUUUUUCUCGUAGGAGGAGAACAUCCUUUUCUCCCCAAUCAUGUGGUUUGUGCACCCGCUAUCAAUUAUCCAACUUGAGCCCCCCGGAUGCAUAAACCUACAAAACAAAUUUAGGCCUUGUUCUUAGGUACCCAAACGGUCUUGGGUCCUUUGAUAUUAGAAACAAGCACCUUGGGUACCCAAACACAAGUCUUUGAGCCCUUGUGUUUGGCCCCAACAUAUUUGGCAACUACUUUGCCUGAUUUGUUAGUUAAAACAUAUGAAGCAUCAAAAGUCUUAAAUGAAAUAAUAGGCUCAUUUGAUGCAAUAGGAGUUUUCUUUUUAGGCAAUUUAACAUGAGUGGAUUGCCUAGAACUAGAUGCCUCACUCUUAUACAUAAAAGCAUGAUGAGAGCCAGAGUGAGACUUCCUAGAGUGAAUUCUCCUAAUCUUGUGUUCGGGAUAACCGGCAGGGUAUAAAAUAUAACCCUUGUUAUCCUGAACCAUGGGAGCCUUACCCUUAACAAAAUUAGACAAUUUCUUAGGGGCAUUAAGCUUGACAUUGUCUCUCCUUCUGGAAGCCAAUGCCAUCCUCAGGGGCAGAUCUCCACCCGGGGCUGCCUGGGCUGCAGCCCCGGUCGGUAGUCGCGGCCCAGUAGAGGCCCAUCAUCGCGCGACAUGACCUAAGCAGCAGACGUCCUACAUCCAGCCCCAGCCGCCGCCGUUUGGCUCCUGCGUUCGAUCUCGCUGCGUCCUGGUCCUGCGCCCUGCGGUCCAGCCUCCUCUCCAAGACUCCACUUCUCCAGCGCGCUCGCCCGCGCCAGCCGCUAGGCCGCCACCGGCCACCGCCAGGCGCGCAGCCGCCCAGGCGCGCUCGCCCACGGCUCGCCAGCGCCAGCCGCCAGGCCGCCACGCGCCACCGGCCACCGCCAGGCGCCCAGCCGCCCAGGCGUGCUCGCCCAGCACCGCAGCGCGCUCGCGGCUCGCUCGCCAGGCCAGAUCCGGACCGCCGGAGCACCACCGCAGCGCCGCUCGCCCCGCUCGGAGCACCGUCGUGAGCCCGCGACCACGCUGUUGUCCAGCCGCCGCUCCGCCCUCCCUCCUUCGACCUUCGCCUUGGUUCCGACGCGCACGCGGUGAACAGUAUGUGCAAGAUUAGUUUUUAUUUGGUUUAAAAAAAUUUAUAGCAUUAGUUUAGUAGCCCCCUCUUGGAUCAAUCCUAGAUCCGCCACUGGCCAUCCUUAACCCCAGGGCGUUUCCCACUAUAGAGCAUGCUUCUAGCAAAUUUAAAUUUUUCAUUUUCUAAGUCAUGCUCAUUAAUUUUAGCACUAAGUUGAGCUAUGUGAUCAUUUUGUUGUUUAAUUAAGGCAAGGUGAUCAUGAAUAGCAUCAACAUUAAUAUCUCUACAUCUAGUGCAAAUAGCAACAUGCUCAACGGUAGAUGUAGAGGGCUUGCAAACAUUUAGUUCAUCAAUCUUUGCAUGUAAAAUAGCAUUUUCUUUUCUAAGACUGGAAAUAGAAACAUUGCAAUCAUUUAAAUCUUUAGCCUUAGCAAUUAAUUUUUCAUUUUCAAUUUUAAGGCUAGAGAGAGAUGCAUUCAACUUGUCAAUCUUAGUAAUUAAACUAGCAUUAUCAUUUCUAAGAUUAACAAUUGAAUCAUCACAAACAUCUAACUUCUCAACCUUAGCAAUCAAUUUAGCAUUCUCAUCUCUAAAGUUGGAAAUAAUAUCAUGGCAAGUGCUUAGCUCACUAGUUAAUUUUUCACAUUUUUCUACUUCCUGAGCAUAAGCAUUUUUAACCUUAACGUGCUUUUUGUUUUCCUUAAUAAGGAAGUCCUCUUGGCUAUCCAAGAGUUCAUCCUUCUCAUGAAUAGCUCCUAUCAAUUCAUUUAAUUUCUCUUUUUGUUGCAUGUUUAGGUUGGCAAAAAGAGCAAGCAAAUUAUCCUCAUCAUCACUAGAGUUAUCCUCAUCACUAGAUGUUGCAUAUUUAGUGGAGGCUCUAGAUUUUACCUUCUUUUUGUCGUCCCUUGCCAUGAGCCACUUGUGUCCGAUGUUUGGGAAGAUGAGACCCUUGUUGACGGUGAUGUUUGUGGCGUCCUCGUCGGAGGAGGAGUCGAUGGAGCUCUCAUCGGAGUCCCACUCCCAACAAACAUGGGCAUCACCACCCUUCUUCUUGUAAUACUUCCUCUUCUCCUUCUUUCUUCCCUUCUUGUCGUUGCCCCUGUCACUAUCACUUGAUAAUGGACAUUUAGCAAUGAAAUGACCAGACUUACCACACUUGUAGCAAACAUUCUUUCACUAUCACUUGAUAAUGGACAUUUAGCAAUGAAAUGACCAGGCUUACCACACUUGUAGCAAACAUUCUUGGAGCGGGGCUUGUAGUCCUUCCCCUCCUUUGCUUGAGGAUUUGGCGGAAGCUAUUGAUGAUUAAAGCCAUCUCCUAAUUGUCGAGCUUGGAGGCGUCGAUGGGGAGCCUACUUGACGUAGACUCUUCUUUCUUCUUCUCCGUCGCUUUGAAUGCGACGGGUUGCACUUCGGGUGUGGAGGAGGCGCCUUGCUCGAUGAUUUUCUUGGAGCCUUUGAUCAUCAAUUCAAAGCUCACAAAUUUUCCUAUAACCUCCUCGGGAGACAUUAGCUUGUAUCUAGGAUCACCAUGAAUUAAUUGAACUUGUAUAGGAUUAAGAAAAACGAGUGAUCUUAGAAUAACCUUGACCAUUUCAUGGUCAUCCCGUUUUAUGCUUCCGAGGUUGCGCACUUGGUUCACCAAGGUCUUGAGCCGGUUGUACAUCACUUGUGGCUCCUCCCCUUGAUGAAGCAUGAAGCGAUCGAGCUCCCCCUCGAUCGUUUCCCUCUUGGUGAUCUUGGUCACCUCGUCUCCUUCGUGCGCGGUCUUGAGCACGUCCCAAAUUUCUUUGGCACUCUUCAACCCUUGCACCUUAUUAUACUCCUCUCGACUUAGAGAGGCGAGGAGUAUAGUAGUGGCUUGGGAGUUGAAGUGCCGGAUUUGGGCUACCUCGUCCGAGUCAUAGCCUUCAUCCCCCACGGAUGGUUCCUGCGCACCAAAUUCAACAAUGUCCCAAAUACUAGCGUGGAGUGAGGUUAGAUGGUGCCUCAUUUUAUCACUCCACAUACAAUAAUCUUCACCAUAAAAAACCGGUGGUUUCCCUAGUGGGACGGAAAGUAAAGGAGUGCGUUUGGAAAUGCGAGGAUAGCGUAAGGGGAUCUUACUAAACUUCUUGCGCUCAUGGCACUUAGAAGUGACGGAUGACGUGUCGGAGCCGGAGGUGGAAGGAGACGAAGAAUCGGUCUCGUAAUAGACCACUUUCUUCAUUUUCUUCUUCUUGUCGCCACUCCGGUGCGACUUGACGUGGGGAGGUGAUUCCUCCCUCUUCUUGUUGCUGGACUCUCCCGAUGGAGCCUUCCCGUGGCUUGUGGCGGGCUUGUCGCCGGUCACCAUCUUCUUCUUGGCGUGAGCUCCCGACAUAACUUCGAGCGGUUAGGCUCUAAUAAAGUAUCGUGCUCUGAUACCAAUUGAAAGUCGCCUAGAGGGGGGGUGAAUAGGCAAAUCUGAAAUUUAUAAAGUUUAAGCACAACUACAAGCCGGGGUUAGCGUUAGAAAUAUAAUCGAGUCCGAAAGAGAGGGCGAAAACAAAUCACAAGCAAAAUAAGAGCGGAUGACACGGUGAUUUGUUUUACCGAGGUUUGGUUCUUUCAAACCUACUCCCUGUUGAGGUGGUCACAAAGACCGGGUCUCUUCCAACCCUUUUCCUCUCUCAAACGGUCACCUAGACCGAGUGAGCUUUCUCCUUAAUCAAACGGGUCACUUAGACCCCACAAGGACCACUACAAACUUAGUGUCUCUUGCUUUGAUUACAAAUGUAUUAAGAAUAAGAAUGGGGAAGAAGAAAGCACAAUUGCAAAAGCCAAGCGACAAGAGCGACAAAUAACACAUGGAUCACUCUCUCUCUCUCAAGUCACUAAUCACUAAUGAUCACUUGUCUCAAUUGUGGAACUUGGAGAGAUUGGAGGCUUUGAUUGCGUCUUGGAAUGGAUUGCUAGCUCUUGUAUUGAAUGUUGAAAGUUGGAAUGCUUGGGUGAAGUGAAUGGAGGUGGUUGGAGUUGUAUUUAUAGCCAUCAACCACUUCCUAGCCGUUGCUCCAAUUCUAUCGACCGCGGACGGUCCACGCCCCUGGUCCGGACGGUCCGCCCCUGUACAUCAACGGUUGAAAUCGCAACGGUCAGCAGUAACGGCUAUAUCAACGGCUAUAAUGCAUUAAAUGCGUUGUCAGAUGUCAGAUAAAGGCAGUCGCGGACGGUCCGGUCGUGCACCCCGGACGGUCCGCGAGGACGCUAUAAUUCAUUUUACUGAACCCGUCACCUUCGGGGUUUUCGGUUCCUCACCUACCGGACGGUCCGCGCUUGAGGUCGGAUGGUCCGCGCGUGGUCUCAGACGGUGCUUGUUUUUCCUCUAGACGGUCCGUAGUGUAGACUUGGAUUUUUGCAUUGGUUCUGUCCGAGGGUCAUCCAGGUGUCGCGGACGGUCCGUCGCAAAGGCCGGACGGUCCGCGCGUGGUCUGUUUUUCCAAAAAGCUUCUCCUAUCCGGAAUAAUCUACGGUAUUCCGGAUAGUCGACUUAGAAUAGUUGUAGAUGAACUUAUGCACCUGUAAAACUUAUAAUCUAGAGCAAACUAGUUAGUCCAAUUAUUUAUGUUGGGCAACUCAACCACCAAAAUCAUUUAGGAAAAGGUUUGACCCUAUUUCUCUUUCAGUUUUUUCAAGUAAAAGACAUAGCUAAGAUAUAUGUAGGUACAAUGGAGUGUGUAUAACUUAUUUAUGUGGGUUGUACUAGUAAAACUGUGUCUUGGGCUUAGAGAACUGAGUCGGAGGUGUGUCUUAAGGGUAUGUGUACAACAACAUUUAAUAUGACAUCUUUUGAAAGUUCUCUAGGGGUUAAUUAAAAAAUACAAGAGACGAGCUCUUCACGUACACGAAGACUCGGGGUUGUAUCACACUCUCUCUUAGUUGUCUCUUGUACUUAGAAAACCGAGCCGAAGUCUUUAGGUUAGAGCAAGUAUAAUAAGUGACUGUAAAUCAGCUAAAUACUGACGUGGAUGAGAGAGAAGAGGAGAGAAAAGAGAAGCUAUAAACUUACCAUUGGCUUGACACAAGAACCAAAAAUCUUGCGAGAGAGAGCAAGUGUGUCUAUGGAUGGACUAAGAUGUAGACUAUAAGCCCAAACAGUAGGCUUUAUUACACACUCCGUUCCAAAGUAUAGUAAUUUAUUUUACACUAAUCAUAUAUUUAUUAAAUAUCAUAUGAUUGUAGUUUACAUGUAUGUCUAUAUUCAUUAUUGUUUGAAUGGAUGUGAACAGAAAAACAGUGGAAUAGAAAGAACAAUACUUUAGAACGGACAUGUGGUCAGCAGAGGAUCAGAGGUGACGCGCUUUAUUUAGCAGGCAGAAAACGAAGCUGCACGGGGUGUCUGACCGCCCAGCGAUCGAGACCAACCUAGCUAGGUUAGUAAACUAAUAACCCCAUAGCAUCACUAGUUAAACUAACUCAUGCCUAGGUAUUCGUAAAACAUGGGAACAUGCCGCGUAGAUACGUUCGUCGUCGUCCACUACACCGGAACCGGGACUUUGGGGCUGCGGUUUGACUGCGUGUGCCUUGGUCGGUGUUGGCCGAGAGCUCCGCGGUGAGCACUACUAGGUCGUCUCGCCCUCCCAUCUCGUGCUCUCCCAUGGCUUUACAUGGGAUGGAAUGCAAGCUUCAGCGUACAGACUCAAUGCAUGGAUCGGAGAAGAUGAUGCUGAGCGACGAAGAGCUAGUGAACUUUCCGCCACACAUAUCCGUCGCUAUCGAUCCAUCUCCGGACAGGUCCAAUCAAAUCGAAUCGAGUUCCGUCGCAGCAUCAAUACACCGACACACACACAGCGUCCUGAGCUUUUCUGAGCGAAGUCGACAUGCAUGUUGCCAUGUUGGCCCCUUUGCUGAGGGAAAGAGCUGGAACUAAAAGAACAUGCAUAUUUUCAUGUGGGCAAUGGGAACAGAGGAAAGAGAGAGAAGGAAAAAAAAGAAAAGAAAGAAACGAAAAGAGAAAGAAGGGGGCAAACCUUGAGCUAUUUGCUGGGAUUGACGUUUGCCCAAUUGCCCUAAGCUGGGUAAAAGAGAUUUGAGACCUGACCACUUCAUUGCAAUGGGGGAAGUAAAAAGGGAUUUGGGUACGGUGGGCAAAGCAGGGACAACCAGCAGAGCAUGUGCAUCAUUAGGGCUCAGGGUGUGUUUGGUUGGACUGAAAGUUUGUUAACGACUUGCAUAAGUUGGAACACACACAAUAUCUGGAGAAUGCAGAGACGGAGAACAGAGUAGUUGAGAUAGUACUUGGAAAGGAAGAAGAACUAGAGUCUAGAGUUCUGUUACAGCAUAAAAAACCCUACGCGCCGCCAAACCCUUAUUUAAUAAUCGGCUGGAUUACUCUGUGCUGUUUACCCACGCCGGCCCAAAGACCUUUGGGUUGCGCUUCCUCAGCCUUUUGGCCCGACACGGCCCAUCUCCUGCUGUUGCAGCCAAACCUUCUUUGUCAUUUGCCGCACCGAUGACUGCUUCCUCCGCUUCGCUGACAUUCCCCCUGCUAAAUCCGCUGGUUGUCCCCAAACAGCUGCAUGCGGAAACUGCUGUUGCAAGUCCUGCGCAAACUCCCAAGUAGCCAACUCCACGGGCAUGUGUGACCACUGGACAAGAAUUUGUUCACUGGACUGCCCCCCACGAGCCACCGUCCGACGCUGCAAGAUCUUGACAGGCACACUGAACUGAAAUUGCUCAUUAGGCAGCACUGGAGAAGACACCAAACCUGUACCCAAGGCACGCUUGAGCUGGGAUACAUGAAAUACAGGAUGAAUCCGUGACGAAGAUGGUAACUAUAAUUCGUACGCCACGGCUCCCACACGUCGCAGCACCUGAAAUGGCCCAAAAAACUUAAAUGCCAAUUUCUGAUGAGCACGAACAGCAACAGACGACUGAACAUAUGGUUGGAGCUUAAGAAACACCCAAUCACCACUAGCAAAUUCCCGUUCAGAACGGCCUUUGUCAGCCUGUCGUUUCAUGCGCAAUUUAGCCCUUUCCAAGUGCUGUUUUACUAAAUCAGACAUGACCUGCCGGUCCUGCAGCCAUAUAGAUAAAUCAGUGGAAGCAAUGACAGCAGAAUCCGAAAUACCAAACUGUCGAGGGCGACACCCAUAGAGCACUUCAAAUGGCGACCUUCCCGUAGCUGAAUGGGGAGACGAGUUAUACCAGAAUUGUGCAACUGAUAGUCACUUACUCCAUUGAUGAGGGCAGGCAUGGACAAAACAACGAAGGAACGUCUCCAAACAUUGAUUUACACGCUCUGUUUGUCCAUCGGAUUGCGGAUGAUAAGCUGAGCUCAUACGUAGCUGGACAUCAGCAAGCCGAAAUAAUUCCUUCCACAGGUUACUGAGAAACACCUUGUCACGAUCGGAAACUAUAGAAUGAGGCAAUCCAUGAUGUUUAUACACUUGAUCGUGGAAAAGGCGAGCAACCGUCAGAGCUGUAAAUGGGUGUUUCAGUGGUAAAAAAUUGGCAUAUUUUGAAAACAGAUCGACAACCACCAGGAUGCAUGUAUACGAAUGUGAACUAGGCAAAGCCUCAAUGAAAUCCAUAGAAAUGAUCUGCCAUAAAGAAGAAGGAACCGGAAGGGGUUGGAGCAGACCAGGUAGCCUAGCACGAUCAGCUUUGGCUUGCUGACAUAUCAAACAGUGAGUGACAUAUGUGUGCACUUCAGUUUUCAGACCUUGCCAAGCAAACAGUUGCUUCAACCGGGCAUAUGUUACCGGAAAUCCCGAGUGACCGCCCACUGCAGAUGUAUGAAAAGCAGCUAUCAACUUCUGAUGCAGAUGAGCUGAAGGUCCUACCCAAAUGCGCUUCUUAUAACGGAGCAACCCAUCUUGCCAGGAAAAAUGUGGAACGGCGGACGAAUCCACAGCGAGCUUAGCAAUGAUAUCCGAAGAAUGGGUAUCUGCCAAAUAUGUAUCAGCAACUUCGGUGACCCACUGUGGCUGACAGGACGACACCGCCAGGCAACUCGCUGACACUAUAGGAUGUCGCGAUAAAGCAUCAGCAACCCCGUUCUCUACUCCUUUCUUAUACACGAUGCGAUAUUGCAGUCCCAACAACCGAGUAAACAUUUUCUUUUGCCAUGGUGUGUGCAACCGCUGUUCAUCCAACUGAGCAAGACUGCGAUGAUCCGUAUAUAUGAUGAAUUCCUUAAGUUGCAAGUAAUGGCGCCAAUGGUCGACAGCAAUCAAAAUGGCCAAAAAUUCCUUUUCAUAAGUCGACAACCCUUGUGAUCUGGGUCCCAACGCCUUGCUAAGAUACGCAAUUGGGUGACCGGACUGCAACAACACCGCUCCGACCCCAUGAUUGCUGGCAUCUGUUUCUAAACAGAAGGGCAAUGAAAAGUUUGGUAAUGCCAAAACAGGAGCAGACACUAAAGCUUGUUUCAAGGCUGCAAAGGAAGCUUCGUGUGCGGGAGUCCAUACAAAUAUAGCACCCUUUUUUAGUAGACCCGUCAGAGGUCGAGCCAAAAGACCAAAAUGACGAACAAAGCGACGGUAGUACCCUGCCAAACCCAAAAAACUGCGUAAUUCCUUCACAGUCCUGGGAGAAGACCACUGAGAAACAGCCUGAAUCUUGCUUGGGUCUGUAGCUACUCCGGCCGCUGAAAUGACAUGACCGAGAUAGGAUAACUGAGGCCUGGCAAAUGAACAUUUAUUCAACUUAAUUUGCCAUUGAUACUGUAUGAGUAGUUCGAAGACUGCUCGAACAUGCUGAAUAUGGUCUUCAAAGCUCGAACUGUAGAUUAAAAUAUCAUCAAAGAAAACUAGCACACAACGACGAAGUAAUGGUGCUAAUGUUGCAUUCAUGGCGCGUUGAAAAGUGGCUGGUGCCCCGGUCAAACCAAAAGCCAUAACUCUAAAUUCAUAGUGACCCGAGUGUGUUUGGAAUGCUGUCUUAUGACAAUCUGCCGGUAACAGCCGAAUCUGGUGAUAUCCCGCUGUCAAGUCCAGACUAGUAAACCAGGAAGCUUGCCCCAAUUCAUCCAACAACUCCUCGAUGACAGGUACCGGAAAAGAUGUCUUGACAGUAAUAGCAUUUAAGUGCCGAAAAUCCACACAGAAGCGCCAUGAAUUAUCCUUCUUCUUGACCAAUAAUACUGAAGAAGAAAAUGGACUAGUGCUGGGUUGUAUAAUUCCUGACUGAAGCAUGACCGAAACUUGGCGCUCUAUUUCAUCUUUGAUAGCUGGUGGAUAUCGAUAUGGUCUGACAUGGACAGGAACAGCCCCUGGCACUAAUGGAAUGGUAUGAUCACACUCACGAGUUGGAGGAAGACCAUUUGGUGGUGCAAACACAGCUUUAAAUUCCUCCAACAAUGCCAUCAGCACAGGUGUUAAAUCCAAGUGUGCAAACAGAGGUGGUUCAGAUUCUAUCAUAUCUAAUUCCACUAUCGACCCAGGUGGAAAAACAGCAGACAAUCCAUGUAAUAGCACCCAGGAACGUUGAUAUGGAAUGAUCAUCCACUUUUGGGACCAAUGCACCUUCAUCGGACUAUUAGCUGCCAACCAAUCCAUACCAAUGAUCAUAUCAUAUGAAGCCAGAUCCAAAACUCUCAAGUCAGUGUCAAACACGCAGUGUUGAACGGACCAUCUAGCGCCAACUAGCUGGCAAGAACACUUCAAACGAUUGCCAUCCGCUACCUGAACCAGCACUGACUUGGCCAUAUCAGUUACACCUGAUAACCUCGAUGCCACCCGGGAUGCAAUGAAUGAAUGAGAACUACCUGAAUCGAUCAGCAUCACCACUUCAAUGCCUUGAAUCAGUCCCCGCAACUUCAGAGUAUGGUUCAACUCCAAUCCUUUAACAGCAGCAAUGGAGAUGGCCAAACAUUCAGUCUCUAUGAUCUGAUCCUCGACCACAACAUCCUCAGGAAUGGUGUCUUCAUCCCCUUCAUAUAAUUCCCAGAGUUCCUGUAGAGCAUGUAACUGGACUGUGGGAGGACACUUAUGAUCACGCGACCACUUCUCC
RNAcentral lists this long non-coding RNA (15197 nucleotides) under Zea mays. RNAcentral describes it as "long non-coding RNA (ZMAY_LNC002259)". Lineage: Eukaryota; Viridiplantae; Streptophyta; Magnoliopsida; Poales; Poaceae. The record is from RNAcentral.